RNAcentral lists this ribosomal RNA (945 nucleotides) under uncultured organism. RNAcentral's name for it is "bacterial SSU rRNA". It matches the Rfam family "Bacterial small subunit ribosomal RNA", at positions 469 to 1411 of the family's 1533-position model. The record is from RNAcentral.
UUGACGGUACCCUACUAGAAAGGAGCCGCUAACUUCGUGCCAGAAGCGUCGGUAAUACGGGGGCUCCAAGCGUUAUCCGGUGUUAUUGGGCGUAAAGAGUCGUGUAGGUGGUUGGGUAAGUUAUCUUUCAAAUAUCUUUGCUUAACAAAGAGGAGGGGGAUAAUACUGCUCGACUAGAAUUUUCUCAAGGGAGAUCGGAACUGAGGGAGGAGUAGUGAAAUGCGUUGAUACCCUCGGGAACACCAGUGGCGUAGGCGGAUCUCAGGGAGAAGAUUGACACUGAGACACGAAAGCUAGGGGAGCGAAGCAGAUUAGAGACCUGCGUAGUCCUAGCCGUAAACGCAUGCUUGCUAGCUGCAUGAAUCUACCUUCGGGUGGUAUCGUGUGGCGAAGGUAACCCGUUAAGCAAGCCGCCUGGAAAGUACGGCCGCAAGGCUGAAAUUCAAAGGAAUUGGCGGGGAGGCACACAACCAGUGGAACAUGUGGUUUAAUUCGAGACUAACCGAAGAACCUCACCAGGGUUUGACAUGUAGCUGCACGUCUUAAGAAAUUAAGACUCUCUUGAAGGUGCUACACAGGUGCUGCAUGGCUGUCGUCAGCUCGUUCCGUGAGGAGUGCCCUUAAGUGGGACAACGAGCGCAACCCCUAUUACAUGUUAGAAAUGUCAUGUAAGACUGCCUUGCCAUUUGGCGGGGAGGAAGGAGGGGCGGACGUCAAGUCCGCAUGGUCCUUAUGCCCUGGGCUACACACAUGUUACAAUGAGUACGGCAAUGAGUCUGUCGCGAGCACGUAAGUGUAAGCUAAUCUCUUAAAUGUACUCUCAGUGGGGAUUGAGGUCUGCAACUCGACCUCAUGAACACGGAAUUGGUAGUAAUCGCGGGUCAGCUAUACCGCGGUGAAUACGUUCUUGCCUCUUGCACACACCGCCCGUCAAACCAGCAAAGU